AUACGUAGGUUGCAAGCGUUGUCCGGAUUUACUGGGUGUAAAGGGUGCGUAGGCGGAUUGGCAAGUCAGAUGUGAAAUACCGCAGCUUAACUGCGGGGCUGCAUUUGAAACUGUCGAUCUUGAGUGCAGGAGAGGUAAGCGGAAUUCCCAGUGUAGCGGUGAAAUGCGUAGAUAUUGGGAGGAACACCAGUGGCGAAGGCGGCUUCCUGGCACACAACUGGCGCUCAUGUGCGAAAGCCAGGGCAGC
RNAcentral lists this ribosomal RNA (247 nucleotides) under uncultured bacterium. Its description in RNAcentral is "partial 16S ribosomal RNA". It matches the Rfam family "Bacterial small subunit ribosomal RNA", at positions 523 to 769 of the family's 1533-position model. The record is from RNAcentral.